Long non-coding RNA from Mesoplodon densirostris (Blainville's beaked whale), 933 nucleotides. RefSeq lists it as uncharacterized. The record is from RefSeq and is a predicted model, not a curated record. Lineage: Eukaryota; Metazoa; Chordata; Mammalia; Artiodactyla; Ziphiidae. The transcript is spliced from 5 exons.
CGGGAAGCCGGCGGCGGCGGUGGCGGGAACAGCCAGGCUGAGGUGGCAGCAAGCCGGCCGAGACUGAGGCGAGGCCGAGCGGCCUGGAGCGCGCGGAGCCGGCCAGUGGCGGCCUCUCAGGCAGCCAAGGUGCAGUGUCUUCUGGGGCUCGGACAACGCCCGGGUGGUCGCGGGGAGUGCCCCGAAGCGUCCCCGCCCUGCUCGCAUCGCUCCCGCCUCUCGUGGCCCCUCAGUUCCCCAGCGCCCGCCCCCCGGCUCCGCCCGCCGCCGGCUCCUCCCGCCGCCGCCGCCGCCGUCGCCGCCGCAGCCCUUCGCGCUAAAGGUCGGUAGCGGCCCGCGCGCGCCGCCCGCCGGGGGCUCGCGCCAGCCACGAGGGAGCGUCCGCGGCUCGCGCGCCCGCGCCGUGGAGGAGAGGUUUUAAGUAUGAUGUUUCUGUAACACAUUUGGAUGUUUUCAGCUAAGCUCACUUCUGAACCAUGGGGUUCCUCCAAAUGUUGACUGAAAUUUGUCCUUGCGCAUCCCCAGGCUCAUCUGCAAAAUCUACAGUCCAUAAUGGAGCUACUGUACUGGCUAUUGGAAGAAGGAGAUUCUGAAGAUAGGGAGUUCAUCAAGAAGCCAAAGAUCUUAUGCCUGACUAAGUAUCUCCAUAUCUAACUUGAUUCAGCUAUCAGUCUGAAAUUUCCUGUGGUCUGUUCAGUCUAGAUGCAAAGGCCUGGAAAAAUCAAGUGCUCAAGUUGUUUAAAUAUGUUUUGGAUGUUCUUAUUUAUAGAUUACAGUAUUUUUCCACUUAAAAUCCACAGUUGUCUUGCAGAAGAAGGUUAUUCCCUUCUAGAUCACCCGUUUUAUUUGACAUGCUUAGUGUUGUAAUGUAUUACCAAAUGCUAUCUGUUUUAAUCAAAGUAUAGAAAAAAUAAAAUCAAUUUUAUAUGUUGA